Eucalyptus grandis is the source of this 495-nucleotide long non-coding RNA. RefSeq lists it as uncharacterized. Lineage: Eukaryota; Viridiplantae; Streptophyta; Magnoliopsida; Myrtales; Myrtaceae. The transcript is spliced from 3 exons. The record is from RefSeq and is a predicted model, not a curated record.
UUCAAGUUUGAUGAGCCAAGAUAUCAUGCCUCAUAUUAUCUCUCUUUAAUAUUAAAUGACCAUUCAUGGCCUUGGGAGGAAGAUCUAGAAAUACUUGAGACCCUUCAGCCUGAAGACCUUUCUCGAUUUGCACCUACAAUGCUCUCGAGAGCAUUCUUAGAGUGUUACAUAGCAGGGAAUAUAGAGCAUGAUGAAGCAGAGUCAAUUGUUCAUCAUGUUGAAGAUGUUUUAAUGGUUCUCAUCCUAUAUGCAAGCCUGUGCUACAAUCCAGCUCAUGACAAGCAGACUCGUCACACUCGACGAGGGUGUAAGUUACGUCUACUCAACUGAAGGUCUAAACUCAAAUGAUGAGAAUUAUGCAUUGCUUCACAUUAUUCAGAUCCAUCAAGAUGACAUUACUUUGAAUGUACAACUUCAGCUUUUGGCUUUUAUUGCAUGGCAUGAAGCCUUCCACCAGCUCAGAACAGUUGAGCAACUUGGUUAUGUCUGUUUGGU